RNAcentral lists this ribosomal RNA (468 nucleotides) under uncultured bacterium. Its description in RNAcentral is "partial 16S ribosomal RNA". It matches the Rfam family "Bacterial small subunit ribosomal RNA", at positions 28 to 507 of the family's 1533-position model. The record is from RNAcentral.
GACGAACGCUGGCGGCGUGCUUAACACAUGCAAGUCGAACGGAAAGGCCCUGCUUUUGUGGGGUGCUCGAGUGGCGAACGGGUGAGUAACACGCGAGUAACCUGCCCUUGACUUUGGGAUAACUUCAGGAAACUGGGGCUAAUAUCGGAUAGGAUCUCCUGCUGCAUGGUGGGGGUUGGAAAGUUUCGGCGGUUGGGGCUGGACUCGCUGCUUAUCCGCUUGUUGGUGGGGUAGUGGCUUACCAAGGCUUUGACGGGUAGCCGGCCUGAGAGGGUGACCGGCCACAUUGGGACUGAGAGACGGACCAGACUGCUACGGGAGGCAGCGGUGGAGAAUAUUGCAGAAUGGGCGGGAGCCUGAUGCAGCAACGCCGCGUGCGGAAUGACGGCCUUCGGGUUGUAAACCGCUUUCGCAGGUGACGAAGCGUGAGUGACGGUAAUGGGUAAGGAAGCAACGGCUAACUACGUG